RNAcentral lists this ribosomal RNA (250 nucleotides) under uncultured bacterium. Its description in RNAcentral is "partial 16S ribosomal RNA". It matches the Rfam family "Bacterial small subunit ribosomal RNA", at positions 524 to 773 of the family's 1533-position model. The record is from RNAcentral.
UACGGAGGGUGCAAGCGUUGUUCGGAAUUAUUGGGCGUAAAGAGCGUGUAGGCGGCCUAGUAAGUCAGAUGUGAAAUCCCUUGGCUUAACCGAGGAAGGGCAUUUGAAACUGCUUGGCUUGAGUACGGGAGGGGGAAGUGGAAUUCCCGGUGUAGAGGUGAAAUUCGUAGAUAUCGGGAGGAACAUCAGUGGCGAAGGCGGCUUCCUGGAUCGAUACUGACGCUGAGACGCGAAAGCGUGGGGAGCAAAC